AGAGAGACAAAGAGAGACAGAGAUCGAGAUAGAUGGCGAUGAAAAGAGAGUGAGGAGGAGGGGUAUGGGUGAUGGAUUUCAGAAGUGGGAGAGUGGGGAUGGUCAGAGAAAACCAUACGGGUCGUCCGGAUCUACUGCUACAUGACUGGAUUUCCAAAGAUAAAUUCCUUUUUUUAAUUUGUUUUUUUACUGUCAGCUUAGAUUGUCAUCGUUUCUGCCUUUUUGUUGUGGAUUAUUUUCGAUUUUUUUAGUGUGUUAGGUCAAGUUUUGGGGAAUUCAUCAGAGAUGUUAAUUUCCCUUAUUUUUUUUGUUUUCUCUCAUUUUGGACAUUCAUCUCUCUUUCUGUCUGUUUGUUCUCUGUUUUAAGGUCAGUUGCUUUUUUUUUUUUUUGGGUUUUUUUGUGUGGCUUUUUAUUUAUUUUUCCAGGUUAUAGAUCUAAUGGUUUUUUGUAUACCAAUCUUGGUUUAGUUUUUCCUCGAAAAUUGUUUUUAUCUGAUUGUGGGUUCGUGGGUUUUAAUUUCUUUCGUUUGUUUCAGGUUGCAAAGUAGGAGGUUCUAACCUGAGGGUUCAGUUCAAGUGGUUCUGACGCGGAGGAGAAUCUGCAAGAGAAAUUUGGAUACUCGGAAGGAACACUUGGAACUUUGGCUUUUUCAGGUAUAUUUAUUUAUAGCGAUUUUGUAAUUAUUUUGUUAAAAUUUUUAAGCAUGCUUGGAUUUUAAGGGGUCACCCUUUCUUUUUGGAAUUUUCUUCGCUGUCAAUCAGACAAUCAGCCGUCAAAUUUUGCUAUAUCCUCAAAUUUUUUAUGGUGUUUGUUGUAUAUUGACUCUCGAUGUCGGCUUAAUAGAGUAAGCAAUGUAAAUUAAAUUGCUUAUUUUAUGGAUCAAUUCAUCCAUCUCUUGUUUUUUAUUUCAUUUGGAGAUAAUUGUGUAAAUGUGUGUUUUUGUGAGCGUUACUCAUGUAAAACAUGCGUUCUCAGACUUGCUACAUUUAUAAAUGCAAUUGUAUUGUUGUAUCA
Molecule: long non-coding RNA, 1015 nt
Organism: Pyrus x bretschneideri (Chinese white pear)
Lineage: Eukaryota; Viridiplantae; Streptophyta; Magnoliopsida; Rosales; Rosaceae
Exons: 3
Source: RefSeq, a predicted model, not a curated record